UACGUAGGGUGCAAGCGUUAAUCGGAAUUACUGGGCGUAAAGCGUGCGCAGGCGGUUGUGCAAGACCGAUGUGAAAUCCCCGGGCUCAACCUGGGAAUGGCAUUGGUGACUGUACGGCUAGAGUGUGUCAGAGGGGGGUAGAAUUCCACGUGUAGCAGUGAAAUGCGUAGAGAUGUGGAGGAAUACCGAUGGGCGAAGGCAGCCCCCUGGGAUAACACUGACGCUCAUGCACGAAAGCGUGGGGAGCAAACAGG
This 254-nucleotide ribosomal RNA is filed under the name uncultured bacterium. RNAcentral's name for it is "partial 16S ribosomal RNA". It matches the Rfam family "Bacterial small subunit ribosomal RNA", at positions 524 to 776 of the family's 1533-position model. The record is from RNAcentral.